RNAcentral lists this unclassified non-coding RNA (344 nucleotides) under uncultured fungus. RNAcentral describes it as "sequence contains ITS1". Lineage: Eukaryota; Fungi. The record is from RNAcentral.
AAUCCAAGAAUUUCACCUCUGACAGUCGAAUGCGAAUGCCCCCAACUAUCCCUAUUUAUCAUCAUCACAGCUCUAGAAGCCAACAAAAUAGUGCCGCAAUCCUAUCUUAUUAUUCCAUGCUAAUGUAUUCAAGGCAGAAGCCUGCUUGAAGCACUCUAAUUUCCUCAAAGUAAAUGCCCUGGAUACCACACCACACAGUCAAGUGCAGCUGUGCUCUCCAAGAAGAUGCCCAGGACAAGCCAGGUACUCACCCAGAGGGCGGACCAGUUGUCCUUGGCAGAGGUCCAACUACGAGCUUUUUAACCGCAACAACUUUAAUAUACGCUAUUGGAGCUGGAAUUACC